This 22-nucleotide small nuclear RNA is filed under the name Arabidopsis thaliana (thale cress). Its description in RNAcentral is "snRNA_09643". The record is from RNAcentral. Lineage: Eukaryota; Viridiplantae; Streptophyta; Magnoliopsida; Brassicales; Brassicaceae.
UUGGCUAAGUCCGUUCGGCGGA